CAGUCGCCGCGGUAAUACGUAGGGUGCGAGCGUUAAUCGGAAUUACUGGGCGUAAAGCGUGCGCAGGCGGUUGUGUAAGACAGGUGUGAAAUCCCCGGGCUUAACCUGGGAACUGCGCUUGUGACUGCACAGCUAGAGUAUGGCAGAGGGGGGUGGAAUUCCACGUGUAGCAGUGAAAUGCGUAGAGAUGUGGAGGAGCACCGAUGGCGGAGGCAGCCCCCUGGGCCAACACUGACGCUCAUGCACGAAAGCGUGGGGAGCAAACAGGAUUAGAUACCCGCGUAGUCCCUGUCUCUUAUAC
This 301-nucleotide ribosomal RNA is filed under the name uncultured bacterium. Its description in RNAcentral is "partial 16S ribosomal RNA". It matches the Rfam family "Bacterial small subunit ribosomal RNA", at positions 509 to 807 of the family's 1533-position model. The record is from RNAcentral.